This 347-nucleotide long non-coding RNA is filed under the name Brassica napus (rape). RNAcentral describes it as "long non-coding RNA (BNAP_LNC011257)". Lineage: Eukaryota; Viridiplantae; Streptophyta; Magnoliopsida; Brassicales; Brassicaceae. The record is from RNAcentral.
GAGAUGUUGUUGCCGCCUUUGUGUAUGUUGGGAUUGUCUCUUGUAUCUCCUGGUAUGGCUGUGUUUGUUUCUCUUUUAUUUGAUGGGUAAUAUGUAAACAAAAAUCAUUGUUAGUUGUAUUUAUCAUAGUUUGUAAUUUACUCUGCCUUUUUGUUUAGGUAAUUUCACUGGUCUUGGUUGUCGUCUUCGUCUUCUUCGUAAGCAUCUGCGAAAGUAAGUUUGUAAAUUGUUAAAUAGCUGGUCGUGUAGUUUGUAUUUGUUUAGCUAGCUCAAUGUAUGUGUCGUUGAAUUUUAGUUGUGUUGAUUGGUUUGGUAUAUUUGUUUUGAAGUUUAUUUGCAAGAUUAGA